Molecule: long non-coding RNA, 807 nt
Organism: Chiroxiphia lanceolata (lance-tailed manakin)
Lineage: Eukaryota; Metazoa; Chordata; Aves; Passeriformes; Pipridae
Exons: 6
Source: RefSeq, a predicted model, not a curated record
GUUGUUCAUUAUUCUUUCAAGAGCCAGAUGAUGUAUUUUUAUAAUAAGAAAGAAUCAGAAAGGAGGCAGUUCUGAGGAAGCCCUUACUGGUAAGGCCAGGCUCUGCACUCCCACUCCAGGGACUGCUGGAUCUGCAUUGCCAUUCUAGGACUUGGGUUUCUCAUUUCCUGGAUGACCGCCACAGAUUGCAGAAAUGGAAAUCUGCCUUUGAACUAAAGAAGAGGGGAUAAAUGUCAAACUCACAGAGAGAGACAGCUAUUUCACUGCAGAAAUAAUUAGAUGGACCUUUCUUGACUUCUAGACUACAGAGUAAAAUACUUCUUCCAGGCUAAAUAAAAAGGAAUUCAUGAAAAUGUGAAUACUCUGAAAUUUAACAAAAAGUCUGGUUGAUAAGAAGAGGUUACCAACACUACUUACAUUUAGCACAGAGAGGCAUAUUCAAGGGUAGGACCUACUGAAGCAGGAAUGAGGUAACCCGGUGCUGGAGCUGUUGGGGAUCAUCUUUUGUAAACUGCUCUCCUUGGGGCUGAGGAACAGCACUCCUGUCUCACCUCUGCUUGAAGGACUCCAGGGUCUCAGCAGUGCAACUAUUGUUGAGAAAACAUCCAAAACCUUUUAGAAAACAUGAAGCAGGGCAGCCCCUUUCCUAGAGUGAUUUCUUCCCUUGCUGUCAGACCAGACCUCCUCUAGGGGAUAGCUAUUAAUGGAAGAAGUCCCAAAGACAAGCGCUCGUUGACCAAAAGCAGGCUAAUUCGCAAAGAUCAAUGGUCCAACAGCAUUCAUCUAUCAUCUCGGACAUGCGUGCAC